This is a long non-coding RNA of Odontomachus brunneus, 503 nucleotides long. RefSeq lists it as uncharacterized. Lineage: Eukaryota; Metazoa; Arthropoda; Insecta; Hymenoptera; Formicidae. The record is from RefSeq and is a predicted model, not a curated record. The transcript is spliced from 3 exons.
CUUUCAAACAGAUGCUUAGAGGCCUGCUCCUGCGACGAGGAGUACAUACAGCGAGGUGUAUAGAUCCUAGGAAAAAUUGUCAUUUGGGAUUUAAAGUACAUCUUUAGCAAGUGCAGCAUCCUCAUGGGAACAACUGCCUCCCGCAUCCUGUAAGCUGAACACAAAAAAGCAUUAGAAUCAGAAAAGUAAUUAUUACUACUCAGUCUUCCCGUCAGUUGCCCUUCCUUCUAGGAGGAGUCUCGCAGGGACAUUGUGUUGAACUCCUGGUGGUGAUCUUCUAUUUGCAUGUCCAGCUGCGAAUGGUCGUGUGCCUGCUCGAAUUGGGGUGGCCCUGAGCGGUGUUGAUUCAUCCAAAAGUUCAAAUGCGUAUAUGAUACUGCAAGAUAGAUUUGGGUUUGCCGAUUUUUACUGUGGAAAGAUUAAACGAAUUUAAUAAGACACUAUCUGAAAAUCUUGCUGCUCGAUUGCAUUAUGUAAGUAUUAUUUACUACUAAAACUUUAUU